UCGACCUUGAUAGAGAGUAGUCCUAUAAGAUUUGAGAAGCUGAGUCCAUAAGUCUAUGGCCAUAGCAGUGUGAUUAAUAAAAAGAAGUUUUUAUUCAGAAUCACUAUUGGACUUGAGCUGAUCAGAUUUAUCAUAUGACUGAUGAUAGGAUUUGAUGAUUUAUCCAUGACCUGCCAUCUAGUCGGGACUCAUGAUAGAGAGACUGUAUCAUACAUUAACUAUAUCUAAAGGUUUUGUUUUGAUUCUAUUAGA
RNAcentral lists this long non-coding RNA (252 nucleotides) under Elaeis guineensis (African oil palm). Its description in RNAcentral is "long non-coding RNA (EGUI_LNC050669)". The record is from RNAcentral. Lineage: Eukaryota; Viridiplantae; Streptophyta; Magnoliopsida; Arecales; Arecaceae.